UUGUUAGACAUUGACAGGUUCUUUGCUAUUCAAAUAUUGAAGAUUUAAAUAGUUUUUUAAGAAAAAUUAAUAUUAAUUUGCUUGAUAUAUAUGCAUCAAAAUGCGAGAACAAAGCGAUGCACCAAAGAAACGGAGAAACCGAUUUAUUACAUGCGAGAUAUGUAAAUAUCGUGCUUUCCGAAAACCUGGCAUCAAAAGAGAAUUUAUGACGAGAUUCCCUCUAGAUGAAGCUCGUUUCUCAGAUUGAUCGAUCACCUAAUGCCGCGUAAAAUUUAUCGAAGAAUGGCAACAAAUCAUAAUUUUGCCUCAGAAUGAUCUGAACAUCUCACAAAUUGACUGGAUUUCAUAUCGGUGAGUAACAAAAUAAUAAUUUUAAUACAUUGUGAAGUUAGUUAAGUAUUAUUUUCUUAUAUAUGUACAAUUGGGGAAUCUGGUGGUGUUCCACUUUUAAACUAGAGUCGUUUGAACAUUUUGUAAACAUAGAGACAGCGAUGAACAAUAGCCAAUAGGACGCAGCUUUUAAAUGUGUCGUUUGCGUAACUUACUGCUACUUACUUGGUUGUAAGAAGAGGCGGAGGACAAGUGGAACACCGCGUAUUUCCGCGACUGUACAUCAAACUGAAAUUAAAUAUGUUUUAUUAAAUUUUAAUUUUUGUAUGCAAGGUGUGUAUUUUAACUAGUAGCGCAGCCACGACUGCAGUCUUUUAUUAAUAAAUGUAUAUAAUUAUAAAUUGAACUUUGUGGCAGUGAAAAUAAAUGUUAUUUUCCAGUGAGGUGUAUAACAGUUUGGUGGUGGGAAAAACGUUACAAGUUUGCGACUGCUAACGAGAUGGGUAUAAAAUGGGGUUAAGAUAACUAAUUAAUUGGCCCAUUUCCAUUUGGAGUCAUAUAAUACGAGUAAUGUGGAGUAUUCGAUAGUACACUACAGAAAUUCUACGCUUCCCUAGCGAGUUUAGAGAUUUUGAUUUUUCAAACUCCAUAUUUUUCGAUAUGAUUUGAAACCAAAAAACUAGUUUCAGUAUUUUUUAAAUCUGGAUAUUAAUAGUAAUUUUGUAACAAGUAUAACGUCAAGUUUUCCAUGGACGUGAAAAUUAAAAUCUGCAUUGCACGAUGGCGUCUCUGAGGAGCGCCUGAGGGCGUAAAACGAUGAUAUCGUGCUUCAAAGCCAAAAAUGUAUUAAAAGAACAAUGAAAUAAAAUAUUAAAAACUG
Long non-coding RNA from Papilio machaon (common yellow swallowtail), 1210 nucleotides. RefSeq lists it as uncharacterized. NCBI's taxonomy places the organism in Eukaryota, Metazoa, Arthropoda, Insecta, Lepidoptera, Papilionidae. The record is from RefSeq and is a predicted model, not a curated record. The transcript is spliced from 2 exons.